RNAcentral lists this ribosomal RNA (393 nucleotides) under uncultured bacterium. RNAcentral's name for it is "bacterial SSU rRNA". It matches the Rfam family "Bacterial small subunit ribosomal RNA", at positions 505 to 898 of the family's 1533-position model. The record is from RNAcentral.
GUGUCAGCAGCCGCGGUAAUACGUAGGGUGCAAGCGUUAAUCGGAAUUACUGGGCGUAAAGCGUGCGCAGGCGGUUUGAUAAGCCAGAUGUGAAAUCCCCGAGCUCAACUUGGGAACUGCGUUUGGAACUGUCAGACUAGAGUGCGUCAGAGGGGGGUGGAAUUCCGCGUGUAGCAGUGAAAUGCGUAGAGAUGCGGAGGAACACCGAUGGCGAAGGCAGCCCCCUGGGAUGACACUGACGCUCAUGCACGAAAGCGUGGGGAGCAAACAGGAUUAGAUACCCUGGUAGUCCACGCCCUAAACGAUGUCAAUUAGCUGUUGGGGGUUAGAAUCCCUGGUAGCGUAGCUAACGCGUGAAAUUGACCGCCUGGGGAGUACGGCCGCAAGGUUAAA